UUCUACAUUGCACCAACCAAUCCACCCUGCGCCCAAAUCGACUUGUAAAUAAACUUCACCAAGCCAUAGUGAUAAGCAAGAAAACGCACCUGAGAGUACCACUCCCCAAAGUUAUCAUCCUUCUUGUACGCCAUCCCCAGUUUCAUCUCCUUCUUCACCUCCUUCUUCUUCUUCCCUGCAAUCCAUGAACCAAGAAACAAGCUCAGAGAAUGCAAAUAUCAAAUAUCAAACUCAAAUCCAGAGGAAUCAAUAGCUCAAGAAGAAGAUAAACAGGAACGCACCUCCGCCUCCGCCCUUGUUGGUCUUUUCACCUCCGCCCUUGUUGGUCGACAUGGCU
This 337-nucleotide long non-coding RNA is filed under the name Hordeum vulgare. RNAcentral describes it as "long non-coding RNA (HVUL_LNC011913)". Lineage: Eukaryota; Viridiplantae; Streptophyta; Magnoliopsida; Poales; Poaceae. The record is from RNAcentral.